UACGAAGGGUGCAAACGUUGCUCGGAAUCAUUGGGCGUAAAGCGCACGUAGGCGGCUUGCCAAGUCGGACGUGAAAUCCCUCAGCUCAACUGAGGACGUGCAUCCGAAACUGGCGAGCUUGAGUACUGAAGAGGAUCGCGGAAUUCCCGGUAUAGAGGUGAAAUUCGUAGAUAUCGGGAGGAACACCAGUGGCGAAGGCGGCGAUCUGGGCGAUACUGACGCUGAGGAG
RNAcentral lists this ribosomal RNA (229 nucleotides) under uncultured bacterium. RNAcentral describes it as "partial 16S ribosomal RNA". It matches the Rfam family "Bacterial small subunit ribosomal RNA", at positions 524 to 753 of the family's 1533-position model. The record is from RNAcentral.